RNAcentral lists this long non-coding RNA (736 nucleotides) under Homo sapiens (human). Its description in RNAcentral is "HSALNT0310970". Lineage: Eukaryota; Metazoa; Chordata; Mammalia; Primates; Hominidae. The record is from RNAcentral.
UUCAGAGUGGAAUGAGAUCACUUAUCAAAUUGGCAACAGGUCCUCUCUGGCCAUCUCCGUAUAGUUUGACCCAAUGAGUUUGGUUCUCCCUUCUUUGUCAAUUCCCCUGUCUCCUGAAUGUCUCAUUCUCAAACUAAUUUUGCUUGAAAUUGUGGCUGGAGAUGGUAUGUUUGAAACUUAAUAUGAUGAACAUAGAACAGGAAGAUUUCAACACCUUUUUAGCAAAAGAUGUUCACAUAAACCUGAAAUGAAUAUAGCCAAAGAGGACGUGGUCUUUCAGCACCUCCAGCUAAAAAAUGCUGCAGAGGAACUUCCUGUAUUAAGUACAGAUGGGGUUUCACCAUGUUCGCCAGGAUGGUCUCGAUCUCCUGACCUCGUGAUCUGUCCACCUCUGCCUCCCAAAGUGCUGAGAUUACAGGCCAUGGAAGUUGAACCACUUUCAGACUAUGUCCUUGGCUUAUGGGGAGAUUUUUCUAAUCUCAGUUCAUUGGUACUUUCAAAGUUACUUCCGGAUUACAGUGCAUUCACUCCUGUCCUAUGAAGGUGUCCAGGUUAUUGGAUAAAACAAAAGUGUUAUGAUUUUAUAAAAGGAGACACAAGAGUAGAAGGACAAAGCUGACUCUUUCAUAGGAGAACUGGAAAAUAUGUAAAAUGGAAGGAAGACUGAUAUAACCCUAGAUUUAGUUAUUAUUUCAUCUGUCUACAUGGUAAUGCAAUAAAAAAUUGUGUCAACCCC